GACGAACGCUGGCGGCGUGCCUAAUACAUGCAAGUAGAACGCUGAAGGAGGAGCUUGCUUCUCUGGAUGAGUUGCGAACGGGUGAGUAACGCGUAGGUAACCUGCCUGGUAGCGGGGGAUAACUAUUGGAAACGAUAGCUAAUACCGCAUAAGAGUAGAUGUUGCAUGACAUUUGCUUAAAAGGUGCAAUUGCAUCACUACCAGAUGGACCUGCGUUGUAUUAGCUAGUUGGUGAGGUAACGGCUCACCAAGGCAACGAUACAUAGCCGACCUGAGAGGGUGAUCGGCCACACUGGGACUGAGACACGGCCCAGACUCCUACGGGAGGCAGCAGUAGGGAAUCUUCGGCAAUGGACGGAAGUCUGACCGAGCAACGCCGCGUGAGUGAAGAAGGGUUUCGGAUCGUAAAGCUCUGUUGUAAGAGAAGAACGAGUGUGAGAGUGGAAAGUUCACACUGUGACGGUAGCUUACCAGAAAGGGACGGCUAACUACGUG
This 495-nucleotide ribosomal RNA is filed under the name uncultured bacterium. RNAcentral describes it as "partial 16S ribosomal RNA". It matches the Rfam family "Bacterial small subunit ribosomal RNA", at positions 28 to 507 of the family's 1533-position model. The record is from RNAcentral.